GAUGAACGCUGGCGGCGUGCCUAAUACAUGCAAGUCGAGCGAACAGACGAGGAGCUUGCUCCUCUGACGUUAGCGGCGGACGGGUGAGUAACACGUGGAUAACCUACCUAUAAGACUGGGAUAACUUCGGGAAACCGGAGCUAAUACCGGAUAAUAUAUUGAACCGCAUGGUUCAAUAGUGAAAGACGGUUUUGCUGUCACUUAUAGAUGGAUCCGCGCCGCAUUAGCUAGUUGGUAAGGUAACGGCUUACCAAGGCAACGAUGCGUAGCCGACCUGAGAGGAGGAGCGGCCACAGUAGAAAUGAGACACGGUGCAGAGGAAGCCGGGAGGCAGAAGGAGGGAAGAGGAAGAAAUGGGCGCAAGCCUGAUAGAUCAACGAAGCGGGAGGAAUGAAUGGAUUCGUAGAGGACAACUUUGUGACGAGAGAAGAAAAAAGGGCAAAGUAAAUAGGCGCGGCUGGACCGUACCUAAUAAGAAGAACACCGCUAGUUACAUG
This 497-nucleotide ribosomal RNA is filed under the name uncultured bacterium. Its description in RNAcentral is "partial 16S ribosomal RNA". It matches the Rfam family "Bacterial small subunit ribosomal RNA", at positions 28 to 507 of the family's 1533-position model. The record is from RNAcentral.